Molecule: long non-coding RNA, 787 nt
Organism: Pantherophis guttatus
Lineage: Eukaryota; Metazoa; Chordata; Lepidosauria; Squamata; Colubridae
Source: RefSeq, a predicted model, not a curated record
UACUAAUUAGGUCAUUGAGAGUGUCAGUUUGGUGUAGUGGUUAAAGCAUCAGGCUAAAAACUGGGAGACUGUGAGUUAUAGUCCCACUUUAGGCACAAAGCCAGCUGACAUAGCAAGGUCAAAGGUUCACCAUCCAAGCUGGACGACUCAGGCCUGCAGGCCUGAGAUAGCAAAUAUCCCUGUAUGUUGCUACUGUUAUUUCAUUAAAAGUAUUUUUGCCCCAACAAUGGAGAAGAUCAUUACAUAGACUUCAUGCAAAUAAUCCCUGCAACAUGAUGAUGACGGUGAAGAUGAUGAGGAUGAUGAGGAUGCACUCAGAAAAUCCAUUGGCAUUUAUUAUUUCAGCAGGAGUGCACUGAAGAUGAUUCCACUGCCCAAGAAGCCGUCUCCUUAUCCCAACUGUGCCUUGUAUAAAAGCCUCAUGAUCUUUGCAAGAAACCAGCAAGAUUUUAAGGACAUAAAGAGAUAAAGAUCUAUAUCUGGGAUAACCAAAUGUCCCAUGGUACAGAGAAAAACACUCUGUUUGAAAGGCUGCACAAUGUGAAUCUGACUUAAACAUAAUCAAAUAUUAGAGGAUGUUUGAUUUUGCUCAUCAUUUAUAAUAUUUGGCAACAAAUCAAGUAGGGAUCCUGGAAAACAGUUGUCUGUUUUCCCCUGUAUAAGGGGUGUUGAUGGUUUUAUUUUAUUUAUUUAACCCAACAAUUCAUUCAUUCAAUUAUUUAAAGUUGUUUUGAGAAAGAAUUGUACAAGUGUGUCUACAGGCAAAAUAAUACACAUGCCAAUUUUA